GGAUUAGAUACCCUAUUAUUUAUAGUGUAAAUUAUUAAUACUUGAGUAGUAAUAGUUAUGAUCUAAAAACUCAAAGAAUUUGGCGGUAUAAUAAUCUUUUUAGAGGAAUCUGUCCCGUUAUUGAUAAUCCGCGUUGAACCUUACUUAAAUUAUAAGUAUGUAUAUCGCCGUAGCUGUUGAAAAUAUUUUAAGGUUAAAAAAUUUUCGUGAAAUUUUAUUAUAUAAUAAUUCAGGUCAAGGUGCAGCAUAUAUUUAAGUGGAGAUGGAUUACAAUAUUAUUAAAAUAAUAAUGGAUUAUUUGAUGAAAUAAAUAUAUGAAGGUGGAUUUAAUAGUAAAGUUGUGUAGAUUAUCAAUUUGAUUUAGGCUCUAGGAUGUGUACACAUCGCCCGUCACUCUCGUUGUAAGAUGAGAUAAGUC
RNAcentral lists this ribosomal RNA (418 nucleotides) under nr. Bantua sp. 1 DJGI-2006. RNAcentral describes it as "partial 12S ribosomal RNA". The record is from RNAcentral. Lineage: Eukaryota; Metazoa; Arthropoda; Insecta; Blattodea; Blaberidae.